This is a long non-coding RNA of Chiloscyllium plagiosum (whitespotted bambooshark), 1426 nucleotides long. RefSeq lists it as uncharacterized. The record is from RefSeq and is a predicted model, not a curated record. Lineage: Eukaryota; Metazoa; Chordata; Chondrichthyes; Orectolobiformes; Hemiscylliidae.
CCUCCCGCAUAACUCAAUCUGGAACACACGCUGCCGGCUCGGUGUCUCAGCGAGAAGCUAUGAAUGCCUUGGCAGAGAGAGACAGCGAGCUGUUUUCUCAGUCACUUCCUCACAGGAACUCCCCAAAAUUACAGCUCUUCCGCUCUUCAGGAUCUGUCACUGCGCAGCCUUAACCCUGUCAGAAACCACGCCUUUUAUGGGAAAUAGAAAAAUCUAGUUAAUGUCGCUUCUCAUCUUUUUUUCUGAAAGAUUCCCCCAAGAAUUGUCCUUUACGCGGUGAUUGUACUAAUUAUGGAAGCGGACUUGAGAUUCCGACAGUCAUAGAAAGACUUAUUCUGCUCUAGAUAUAUAUCUGGAGGCACAAGCUCUUCUGGUUAGGGAAGGAUGUCAAGGAAAUGGAGAGAUUUAACAUGGAGUCGCGCUUUUGCAUGGAAAGUUGAGAAGCUGUGGAAUGUAUAACUGGAGUUAAUGAUUCAAGUGGAGACUGAGAAGCAGUUAAAUAAGUGAUUGUAGAAAAAGAAGAAUAAAGAUAAUGCAACGAGAUAUAGCCCAACCUACUGAGCAUUUCCAGCAUUUCUUGUUUAUGUUCCAAAGUGCUAAUACUUUCCUAGCCGUGGUGUAGCAUCUUCGGAAUUGACCAUCUCUCAGUCAGAAGCUGUCAUCUGCACAGUUAAAGUAUUGGCAUUUGGAAAAGAAUGAGGGUAUAUAUCACUUGAGGAGAGAUGGUAAAUCUUGUGUUGACAUUUCUUACAGCUGCCACUUGUAAUGGAUGUGUGAUGCUUAAUGCAUGUAGAAUGCAGAGGCUCAAUAUAGAUUUCACCAACAAGUGGAGAGGAGUUAUGUGUCACUUCUUUAUCUCUGCUGUUCUAAAGAGGUAUUAACUUUUCAUCCAAUACUGGAUUGGAAUCCUGUAUAUACAUCAUGUUAGGUCACUAACAAUAAUACCGACUGUUAAAAUGAACAAUUAUUAGAAAUUAACAUCUAAUUUUAUUGGGCACUUAUCAUAAUGAAAUGGGAAAACUUAGAAAUAGGGCACUGCACAGGAAAAUUGCCAAGGUAGAGGGAUUCUAAGAGAUUAAUCUUUCCUUUAAAUAGCCUAUGAUAGGAAAAGCUGAGAAUAUGAAAGUUGUCCAUGAAAAUUUCUUGUCCAUGGGAAAACACAGGUUAGGAAGAUCCAGACGUCUUAGAGAUAAAACCCGAAAGCCUUUAUCAUUAGAGACAAUCAAAUGAAGAAAGCUGUUAAGAAUAUGAUCUAAUGAUGCAAUGCUGAUAUGAAAGAUACAUGAAAUGUUUGCUGAGAUUGUGGUUACCAUAGAUCUAGAGAAGUUUGAGGAGGAAGAGGGAUAAACUCUUAGCACUCUGGCAACCUCAUGAACUCUUAGCAUUUGCCUGUACCUGUGUUUUUGUUUGGCCGCUGUGUACCUAU